CUGGGCGUAAAGAGCGUUGAGGCGGUUCCGUAAGUUGGGCGUGAAAGCUCCGGGCUUAACUCGGAGAUGUCGUUCCAAUACUGCGGGGCUUGAGACAGCAGAGGAAGGUGGAAUCCCGGUGUAGUGGUGAAAUGCGUAGAUAUUCGGGAGGAACACCCGUGGNCGAAGGCGGCCUUCUGGGCUGUUCCUGACGCUGAAGGCGAAGCUAGGGGACGACGGGAUAAUCCCCGGUAGUCCUAGCUGUAAACGGAUGGAUGCUGGGUUUGGGGGGUGUAAAUUCCGCUCUGUGCCGAACAAACGCGUUAAGCAUCCGCUGGGGACUACGGCCGCAAGGCUAAAACUUCCAAACCGAAAUUGAACGGGGGCCCGCACAAGCAGCGGAGCGUGUGGUUUAAUUCGAUGCUACAACGAAGAACCCUACCCUGGGUUUGACAUGCACGUGGUAGGGAACCCGGAAAAGGGGACCGACCUUCGGGAGCGGUGCACAGUGCUGCAUGGCUGUCGUCAGCUCGUGCCGUGAGGUGUCGGGUUAAGUCCCGUAACGAG
This 546-nucleotide ribosomal RNA is filed under the name uncultured organism. Its description in RNAcentral is "bacterial SSU rRNA". It matches the Rfam family "Bacterial small subunit ribosomal RNA", at positions 554 to 1096 of the family's 1533-position model. The record is from RNAcentral.